AUGAGAUAUAUCCGAGAGUUGGAAGAUUGUAAACCCAAUAAGAGUGGGUCGCCUGCAGCUAGAAGUACUGAACAACCAAGGCAAAAGUGGAUCCCUCCACCGCCGGGUCUCUCGAAGAUCAGGGUAGACGGUGCGGUCUCCAGAGAUAACCUGUAUGGCUCCUUCAGCGCCAUCUGCAGAGAUUCUUCGGGUCAGUUCUUGGGUGCUUCAGUAAUCAAAACAUAUGGCAUCACGGAGCCUGCAACUCUCGAAGCGCUAGCUUGCCGGGAGGCGCUUGCGCUAGCUUCAGAUUUGGCAUUGACCGAUUUCAUUGUUGCUUCUGACUGCCAAGGUGUAGUUAAUGAUAUCAAUCAUGGUACGGGAGGGACGUAUGCAAGCACAGUCAAGGAGAUUGUUGAGCCAUCAAGAGACUUUCAUCAGUGUACCUUCAUCUUCGGAGGUAGAACCACCAAUAUUGAGGCGCAUAGUCUCGCUAAACACGCUUUCGGUCUAGAUCAUGGGCGCCAUUUGUGGCUCAUAAACCCACCAGACAUUCAUUGUAUCCCUAUGAACUUCUUGAUUAAUAAAGUGUGUUUAGGCUAA
Molecule: ribosomal RNA, 582 nt
Filed under: Triticum aestivum (bread wheat)
Lineage: Eukaryota; Viridiplantae; Streptophyta; Magnoliopsida; Poales; Poaceae
Description: partial small subunit ribosomal RNA
Source: RNAcentral